ACGACUCUUUCUUGUUGAGACCUCUCACCCAAGAAAGUAGCCACCAGUUUCUAGCUGGCUUUCUAUCAACCCUUUGAUCCUUGUAGACACUCGGCAGUCUAACACAAAAUCAAAGUACGACUCUUUCUUGAUGAGACCUCUCACCCAAGAAAGUAGCCACCAGUUUCUAGCUGGAUUUCUAGCGUUCGUUUGAUCCUUGUAGACACUCAGCAGUCUAACACAAAAUCAAAGUACGACUCUUUCUUGAUGAGACCUCUCACCCAAGAAAGUAGCCACCAGUUUCUAGCUGGAUUUCUAGCUUUCGUUUCGUUUCAAAGUAUUGUUACAGACAGAUUAAAAGAAGUACAAAAAGAAGUCUUCAAUCUUGUUCAAAGU
Molecule: long non-coding RNA, 375 nt
Filed under: Cicer arietinum (chickpea)
Lineage: Eukaryota; Viridiplantae; Streptophyta; Magnoliopsida; Fabales; Fabaceae
Description: long non-coding RNA (CARI_LNC003753)
Source: RNAcentral